UUGAAAGGGAAACGAUUGAAGUCAGUCGUACUAACGGGGAAUCAACCUUUUGAGGGUGGACUUGUGGGAUUCAAAGUGCCUUUGUUUUUCACAACCUGCUUUUUUUGGGUGCAAUUUCUCGUAUUGUAGGUCAGCAUCGGUUUCGAUCGUUAUAAAAUGACUGGAGGAAUGUAGCUUCGAUCUCGUAUUGAAGUAUUAUAGCCUUUGGUAGAUGUAACGGAUGGGAUCGAGGAUUGCAAUGAAUACCCUUUAUGGGCUAUCCGCCUGGCCUCUGACAUGUCACUCUGGUGCUGAAAGCUUGCUUAUGGGUAUUAUAGUGUACGGUCAAAAGGUUAGAAACGGAUUAAAUUCGUUAAGGAUGUUGACGUA
This 369-nucleotide ribosomal RNA is filed under the name uncultured Glomeromycotina. RNAcentral describes it as "eukaryotic LSU rRNA". The record is from RNAcentral. Lineage: Eukaryota; Fungi; Glomeromycota.